UGAGGAAUAUUGGUCAAUGGGCGAGAGCCUGAACCAGCCAAGUAGCGUGAAGGAUGAAGGUCCUACGGAUUGUAAACUUCUUUUAUACGGGAAUAAAGUUUCCUACGUGUAGGAUUUUGUAUGUACCGUAUGAAUAAGCAUCGGCUAACUCCGUGCCAGCAGCCGCGGUAAUACGGAGGAUGCGAGCGUUAUCCGGAUUUAUUGGGUUUAAAGGGAGCGCAGACGGGAGAUUAAGUCAGUUGUGAAAGUUUGCGGCUCAACCGUAAAAUUGCAGUUGAUACUGGUUUCCUUGAGUGCAGUUGAGGCAGGCGGAAUUCGUGGUGUAGCGGUGAAAUGCUUAGAUAUCACGAAGAACCCCGAUUGCGAAGGCAGCUUGCUAAACUGUAACUGACGUUCAUGCUCGAAAGUGUGGGUAUCAAACAGGAUUAGAUACCCUGGUAGUCCACACGGUAAACGAUGGAUACUCGCUGUUGGCGAUAUACUGUCAGCGGCCAAGCGAAAGCAUUAAGUAUCCCACCUGGGGAGUACGCCGGCAACGGUGAAACUCAAAGGAAUUGACGGGGGCCCGCACAAGCGGAGGAACAUGUGGUUUAAUUCGAUGAUACGCGAGGAACCUUACCCGGGCUUAAAUUGCAGACGAAUUACGAGGAAACUUGUAAGCCGCAAGGCGUCUGUGAAGGUGCUGCAUGGUUGUCGUCAGCUCGUGCCGUGAGGUGUCGGCUUAAGUGCCAUAACGAGCGCAACCCUCGUGGUCAGUUACUAACAGGUUAAGCUGAGGACUCUGGCCAGACUGCCAUCGUAAGAUGUGAGGAAGGUGGGGAUGACGUCAAAUCAGCACGGCCCUUACGUCCGGGGCUACACACGUGUUACAAUGGGAGGUACAGAAGGCAGCUACCCGGCGACGGGAUGCCAAUCCCCAAAACCUCUCUCAGUUCGGACUGGAGUCUGCAACCCGACUCCACGAAGCUGGAUUCGCUAGUAAUCGCGCAUCAGCCACGGCGCGGUGAAUACGUUCCC
RNAcentral lists this ribosomal RNA (1017 nucleotides) under uncultured bacterium. RNAcentral's name for it is "bacterial SSU rRNA". It matches the Rfam family "Bacterial small subunit ribosomal RNA", at positions 355 to 1375 of the family's 1533-position model. The record is from RNAcentral.